Molecule: ribosomal RNA, 477 nt
Filed under: uncultured organism
Description: partial 16S ribosomal RNA
Rfam family: Bacterial small subunit ribosomal RNA
Source: RNAcentral
UACACUCCUACGGGAGGCAGCAGUGGGGAAUAUUGCACAAUGGGCGCAAGCCUGAUGCAGCCAUGCCGCGUGUAUGAAGAAGGCCUUCGGGUUGUAAAGUACUUUCAGCGGGGAGGAAGGCAAUACGGUUAAUAACCGUGUUGAUUGACGUUACCCGCAGAAGAAGCACCGGCUAACUCCGUGCCAGCAGCCGCGGUAAUACGGAGGGUGCAAGCGUUAAUCGGAAUUACUGGGCGUAAAGCGCACGCAGGCGGUCUGUCAAGUCGGAUGUGAAAUCCCCGGGCUCAACCUGGGAACUGCAUUCGAAGCUGGCAGGCUUGAGUCUUGUAGAGGGUGGUAGAAUUCCAGGUGUAGCGGUGAAAUGCGUAGAGAUCUGGAGGAAUACCGGUGGCGAAGGCGGCCCCCUGGACAAAGACUGACGCUCAGGUGCGAAAGCGUGGGGAGCAAACAGGAUUAGAAACCCGGGUAGUCCCAUGA